GAAACCACGUAUAUUUUCUUGUCGUCCCCACUUUUUCGUAUUUUCUCUGUGAUUUUGUGUUAAAGUAUAGCCAUUUUUGCGUCUUGCUCGUCUUUUUGGUCAUUUGUCGACCAUUGUUGAAUUUAAGUGUUAUUUUGUUUUUAAUUAAUUUUUUUUAUGUUUUGGUGAAAUAGUUAGUUCACUCGACAAUAAUCUAUAACUCCAAAUUAUGGUGAUGGUGAAUUAUUGACUCUCAUGUACGAGUUAUUUUUGUUAUAAUAUUCAAAAUUUGCCAAUACAAAUAUUUUGAUUUUCAACAAAAGGACGGCUAGAAAUUAUUUGAAUAAAUGGCAUCACAAAUGAUGAUAUUAAAAAAACUCUUGGAUUUUCAAUGUCACCAGAGCAUCUACAAUCGAAAAUUGCUACAGAUACAACGAAAUAAUGAGUAGCAUAGAGAUAUGAGAGACACGAUCGGACACGACGAUGAUCGUUUCAAGUGGUAGAAAUAAGUGGGGACAUGAUUCUAAGCCAUCAUUGGCUGCUAUAUCGUCGUUGGUGGUCCCCACUCAUCCCUCCUAUCGACACGACGAGUGGAAAGGGUUGUAAAGUUGCAACAACACCGAAAUUGCACGGGUGAAAUAAAAAGUUUACUGGACAACAAUCUAUAACAUCAAAUGAUGCUGGUGUUUAUUGACUCUCAUCCUCAUGUACCAGCUAAUUCAACAAAAGGACGGCUAUAGGAAUAAUUUGAAUAAAAGCGUCAUCAAUCAUCAUCAAAGCAAUAAUGGAGCAAUACCGAAAAUAGCUACAGAUACAACGAAAGAAAUGCCUCGGAAUUAUUAUUUAUUAGCUGAGGAUAAAUGUCUUUACCAAUGGCAAAAGUAUUGGCAGUCUUUAUUGAACAAAGAGAGGUAUUCUUGGUUAAUUAAAAAUUGAUUGAAAGUUUCAACAGACAUCCGUGCAUUUGGAAUUCCAAAUUAUCUCAGCGGAUUUCGGCCUGUUUGUUGACACUAAUUAUAAUGAUAUAAGGACAAUAAUCAUUGAUAGUCGUUGGUGCAUCUGAAUGCUGUCUCCUAGAAUUUCUACAUAGGCCUUGGUGUAUUUGAAUGCGCUGAUUCAUAGAUUUUCUACAUAUAUAAGCCUUGAUGCAUCUGAAUUCUUCCUCCUAGAACUUCUAAAUGAGGUAAGAGGCCCUCUGGUCACUUUUUUAACCAAUCCCUCAGGGUAAAGUGCGUCAACAAGCUUGUAACUUCAAAGAAUUAAUUAUAAUAUUCUUUUAAGCUACUUGAUUG
Long non-coding RNA from Aphidius gifuensis, 1271 nucleotides. RefSeq lists it as uncharacterized. The record is from RefSeq and is a predicted model, not a curated record. The transcript has 6 exons. NCBI's taxonomy places the organism in Eukaryota, Metazoa, Arthropoda, Insecta, Hymenoptera, Braconidae.